This 61-nucleotide transfer RNA is filed under the name Aradacanthia heissi. Its description in RNAcentral is "tRNA-His". Lineage: Eukaryota; Metazoa; Arthropoda; Insecta; Hemiptera; Aradidae. The record is from RNAcentral.
GCUUAAAUAGUUUAAUUAGAAUUGUAAUUUGUGGUAUUAUGGGUACAUAUUGUUUUAGGCU